UGCCCUAGUAACGGCGAGUGAAGCGGCAACAGCUCAAAUUUGAAAUCUGGCUUCGGCCCGAGUUGUAAUUUGCAGAGGAUGUUUCUGGCGCGGUGCCUUCCGAGUUCCCUGGAACGGGACGCCACAGAGGGUGAGAGCCCCGUAUGGUUGGACACCAAGCCUGUGUGAAACUCCUUCGACGAGUCGAGUAGUUUGGGAAUGCUGCUCAAAAUGGGAGGUAAAUCUCUUCUAAAGCUAAAUACCGGCCAGAGACCGAUAGCGCACAAGUAGAGUGAUCGAAAGAUGAAAAGCACCUUGAAAAGGGGGUUAAACAGUACGUGAAAUUGUUGAAAGGGAAGCGCUUGUGACCAGACUUGCGCCGGGCGGUUCAUCCGGGGUUCUCCCCGGUGCACUCCGCCCGGCUCAGGCCAGCAUCGGUUUUCGUUGGGGGAUAAGAACGGCAGGAACGUGGCCCUCCUUCGGGUGGGUGUUAUAGCCUGCCGUACGAUACCCUGACGGGGACCGAGGUUCGCGCUCCGCAAGGAUGCUGGCGUAAUGGUCAUCAGCGACCCGUCUUGAAACACGGACCAAGGAGUCGUCCAUUAGAGCGAGCGUUUGGGUGUCAAACCCGCACGCGUAAUGAAAGUGAAAUUAGGUGAGAGCUUCGGCGCAUCAUCGACCGAUCCUGAUGUUCUCGGAUGGAUUUGAGUAAGAGUUUUAACGGACGGACCCGAAAGACAGUGAACUAUGCUUGUAUAGGGUGAAGCCAGAGGAAACUCUGGUGGAGGCUCGCAGCGGUUCUGACGUGCAAAUCGAUCGUCAAAUAUGAGCAUGGGGGCGAAAGACUAAUCGAACUGUCUAGUAGCUGGUUACCGCCGAAGUUUCCCUCAGGAUAGCAGUGUUGACCUUCAGUUUUAUGAGGUAAAGCGAAUGAUUAGGGACUCGGGGGCGCUUUUUAGCCUUCAUCCAUUCUCAAACUUUAAAUAUGUAAGAAGCCCUUGUUACUUAGUUGAACG
This 995-nucleotide ribosomal RNA is filed under the name Cryphonectria parasitica (chestnut blight fungus). RNAcentral's name for it is "eukaryotic LSU rRNA". It matches the Rfam family "Eukaryotic large subunit ribosomal RNA", at positions 76 to 1101 of the family's 3401-position model. Lineage: Eukaryota; Fungi; Ascomycota; Sordariomycetes; Diaporthales; Cryphonectriaceae. The record is from RNAcentral.